AGGCUUCAGAUUGAUUCUGCAGAAUCACCAACCACACUCUUCUAUGUCUCUAAACUAAAACUCUGCUCAGUGGUGAAUGACACUCAUGUAUCCCGGAUAGUAAUGAAGUUCAUGGUAUCUAGGAAUGCUGGUGCCUUCAUUCUGACGACCUUCUUACCCUCUAUGAUCCUAGGCAUCAUUGGCUGCUUCACUCACACUCUCGAUGAAAAGGCUUUCAGUGACCGGAUCAUGGUGACACUUACGUGCCUAAUAGUGAUAGCAUCACUAUUUUCAACAACCACCUCCGUAACUCCAAACUCAGCAUCUCCGAAGUUGGUGGACAUCUUUUUCUUCUUUUACAUUGCUCGUCUGUUUAUGAUCUUCAUUAUCCACUCCAUUCUAGUCAUUCUAAACAAAAAAAGGAAAAAACUUGAAGAAAGCAUCCAACAAAAUCAUGAAUUUCUUAAAUUCAAGAGAAAGUUGUCACUUUCAUAUGCAAAGACAAAGAAUCUCAAAGGUUCUAUGAAAGGAGAGGUCCAGCUGCCUCUUCGGAGUGCUUGGGAAGAUGACGUGGAAAUGGCACUUAAAACUGACAGUUCUGUGAAACUUUCAGCCAUGAACCUAGAUAAAUUAGGUCUAGUUCUCGGUGUAGUAAUAGAUACUGUCUUUCUUUUUUAUUUUUCUGCUAUCAUCAUCAGUGAGCGUUACAAUCUGUUUAGACGGUUUGAAUCAGACACUGAGCACUGUCCACUGAGUAGUGUACAUUGAUACUAGUACGUAGUAGCAGAAUUCAAUUCAGGUAUUUAAUAACCCUGAGGUUUAAACAAAUUUUUCCAAGAACCAAUUUUCAGCAAAACAACCCCAAAACAAUAUUUACAUUUCAAGGAAUAUACAUGUAUAUUUAUGAAACUACUAUACAGGCAGUCCCCGGGUUACGACGGGGGUUCCGUUCUUGAGACGCGUUGUAAGCCGAAAAUCAUCGUAAGCCAGAACAUCGCCAAAAAUCCUAAGAAAACCUUACUUUUAAGGCUUUGAGUGCAUAAAAACUAUGUAAACUGCAUUCUUAUUGUAUUUUUCAUAAAAAUUUCAAAUAUUGAUUAUUUUGCAUUUUUGGAGUCAUAUUUCUUCUGGCAGAUCAGCGUUGCAGGCGCCGUAACCCUGGAACGUGUCGUAAACCUGGAAAUAAUUUCUGAUAAAUAUAAUUGAAAAGCGUUGUAUGGAACGUCGUAAGCCAGUGACUGCCGGUAAUGGCAAAAUAAAAACUAAUUGUAACCUUCAAAAACAGAACAUAACAAACAGAUGAAGUCAAAUAAUAACAUUUUGUAUGAAUAUUUUUGCAGAAAAUUCUAUAAAGUUUCAUAUGAGGGGAGAGUGAUGACAAGAAAGGUAUAAAAAUACGAUACUUCUGAUCUACAAGAUAGAUGAAAAUUUUGCUUUGUUUGAAUAUUCAAAGUACAUAAUAUCAUACUUGUAGUUACAAUAUGUUAUUUCUGAGAAACAGAAUGAAGUGAAUGUCUUACAAAUGAAAUAAGUUUUACAAAGUCCAAGGAGUUAAAUUUGUUUCUCUGAUGAACACAUACUUUAUCAUGGAUCCUGCCUUAGGGAACCUUUCAUUAAUGAUUACAUGAACAAUGAAAAUGGACACAUUACACUGCGAGUGAAAUUAUACAUGAGAGAUGAAAAAUAAAUUUCAGAGAUGUCCAAUUAAAUGUGUACAGAAGAUAUUGUGAAGGCCCUAUAGGUACGUAAGGAGUGUAAGAGAUGGAGGAAAAGAAAUAUUUUACAAUUCAAAAGUUUUUACAAAUGAGUGAAAACAAGAGAAGGUUCCUUGAAUGUGGAGGGAGCAAGAGCUUACAUAUUUUAAAACCAAAAAAGUUAGAUUUUGCUAAUCCAGCUCCUUAAUCCAGGUAUUAACCCAAUAUGGUUUUUUUAAAGUUGAGGAUAAGUACAUUAUAAAGAUUAUAUACUAUUUCUGAAAAGAUAUGAAAGGAUGCAAGAAAUACAUAAGGGUACUAGAGAAAUUUUUAAAGCAUUGUACUCUGCUUUAGAUUUAUUUCACAUCAGGCAAAAACUUAUUACAGUUUUUUAAGUUACUCUGAUAGACAAAUAAAGAUACUAGUUCACUAAUUGCAGUUUGAUUCAGAGAACAUCCAGUACUGUAUAAGAACGUGGCCCAAUUCCUCCAACAUGUUCUGAUUCAAAACUAGCUGUCACCUCAGUGCUUAGUUAUGACUGUUCUAUUGACAGCCUCCAGAUUAGCAAGUCUAGUUUCUUCCUUUGCAUGUUCAAGAUGAGGAAUUUCCCCCAAAUCUUAAUUCCCUCCAUUUAAUCCUAUAAGCAUCACUCUCAAAAUAUUCCUUUAUCUUCCUUAUGGACACUUACAGAUGCUCUUUGCUUUACAUUUCAUCUUAGGAUUUUCUGACUGUAAGAUAGUCGAGAUUAUAGAGGAAAAGUCAUUAAUUAAAAGAUUUACAUGACUUUAACAAAUACAAAAUGCUCUUGUUUGCUAUACAGAAAUAUGGAAUGAAAUAGAGAAAACUACUGAGUGCGUGAAUUACACUUCAUAACUUGAUUUGUUACCAUGUUAAUAGUACUACUUUCCAGGAACGUGUGGAUAAAUGAUUUUAUUAGACAUAUUUACAUACAAUUAACUGUUCAAAUGAAAAAAUUUUGUUUUUUAUGAUUAGCCCAUGAAAGCAAUAACAACUGAAAUUUCGCAAUUAGUCAAAGAGACGUGGUGCUGCAUUAUUUUGGAGGUUGACAUUUGUGGCUAAUAUAUGCAUAACCUCCAUUAUAUAAGAAUUUUAUUUUUGAUUUCUAACACUAACUUUGCUUACAAUUUGGUAUAUAUUUCACAUCAUAUUUACCUUUUUAAUGAAAUACAGUACUAAAAAGCAAUAAAGAAGAAUAUUGUCAUAAAUAAGUAAGAUUUUAAGGAUAUUACUGCAGUAAAAACAGACUGAAUGUUUCAUUAAAAGAAAAGUAAUUUCACCUCGUUCUUGAACAAGGUUUCUAGACUCUUAAAGGGUUGGACCAAAGGAUCUGUUACCCAAACAGCGCUAAAAAGUAAAACAGGGAACAUAGUCUACAACAGAAGGGAUGCAAAUAUCAAGGUGAAUAUACCUUAGUAAAUCUUCAGAGAUAUUUGAAAAAAUACUUUAGUAAAUCUUAAGGGAUAUUUGAAAAACUCUUUAGAAGUAGGAAUUUUUAAGGUACUUAACUGCAUACCCUUUGUUUACCUAUAUGCAAUACACAGACCUACUUUAAAGUUAUUUUUUUUUCCAAGCAGAUUAUCAACAGCAGAAAUACCACUUGACAGGUUUGCUUUCAGAGGCCUAAGCAUAAAGAGGAAAAGCCAGCUCCUAAAAUAAUAAUAAUAAUAAUAAUAAUAAUAAUAAUAAUAAUAAUAAUAAUAAUAAUAAUAAUAAUAAUAAGGAUGUAGACCCUUUUUUUUUCUUUCUUUCUUUUAUUAUUAUUAUUAAACCAAUCCUGAGUUAAUGAAAUGGAGUCUUCUCAGUUUUCAUUAUAAUUCUUUUGUGCUCCAUGUCAAUAUUGGACAACAAUUGGCCAAUGUUCAUAUUUUGGCAAAGAAGGACAGUGGCAAUAUAAUAAACAUCUUUCUCUAUAUGUACGUACAAGAGAAGGUAGUGAAACACGGGGGAUAAACCCAUAGAGUUCAACAGCAUGUUACAUAAUGGGAUAUUUUAUACCAGUACAUACUAUUGUAUUUCAGAAAUUCCUUGUUGUCGACAUUACAACCUGGUCAUUUUCAUGAUGGGCGAGAUAAGUCUGGAGAAAAGUGGUGUGGGUGGUGGUAUACAUCGAGGAUCAGCAUAGUGGGCAAGAGCAGCGCUGAAUUCUCAUCUGAAGUAUGGCACUGGCAUAACAUCUCCUGGUAACUGCUGUUAAACUCUAUGGGGCUUAUACUUUGUGUUUCAGUAUUGUACUAUAGAAAAUAGACUGAUUUAAUAUGCUUCUAAUGUAUUUUUCUACCAAAAUAUGUAUAUUGGCCAUUAUUGCCCAAUACUGAUAUGGAAGACAAAAGAAUUAUAAGGAAGACAGAAGACUCAACAUAAAAUUAAUUCAUUCUAUUUAACCUUAAUAAUAAUAACUUAGCUUACCAGACCUUGAAUUAUGAGAUUUUUAAUUAGCUACAAUAUUGUGAAGGUUUCCUGCUAGGCAAACAGUUUAGAAGUUAUGUAUUUUGCAGAUAAAUCUUUAAAAGUGAAUAGUAAGUGUAAAGCUUUAGCUUAGGCUAGGAAUGAUAUGGGAUUACUGUAGGCUACUGAAUAUCCUGAAUCUUUGAGUGCAUACUAUGUUAUAUGGUCUACAUGUAAUUUGACAAACUUUGCUGCUUAUUAUAAGCUUUCUUCCAUGAAGCAUCUGAUAAGCUGAGGGGCUACUGUAAUAAUAAAAAUGAUAAUGUCACGUAUACAAUUUUUUAUUUACAUGAAGAUAUCAGCUAAGUACAAUAAAUACCACAUACAUUCAUCUAACUUGUAAACUUUUUCUUACAUACCAACUCACCUAAAAUAUCAAAUAAAUUGCUGCACUUGAGGUUCUAACUUAUCAACAUAAAGAUUACUUUUUUUUUACUGAUAUAUACUCACAACAAAACUUUAAAUACUAUGUAAUUACUUCAAAUAGGCUUUCACUUCAAACAAGUCUCAUUUAAUUCAACACCAACUAAUUUCCUUAAAAACUAAAUUCACUACUAUUUGCAAAACAGGGCAAGUUUUGAUAGAAUGGAUGAUUUCCUAAGGAUAUUAUUUAUCAAAAAAUAAUUUUCCACAAUUUGAAAUUCUUGAUUUCAAGAAAGAAUGGAUUACUAAAAAAGGUUUUGUGUAUCAGUAACAAUCCUAGUAAAUACUUGCUUUCAAUGGUUUUCCCUUUCAAAAUAAUGUCCUAACAUUCAAAACCUCAGCUAUUCAUGAGUUUACCAAAAUAGCUACAAUAAAUGCUACAUAUUUAUCACUUACAUCAUACUGAAAUUUCCAUUUAUUAAAUUACCAGUAAAAUAAUACUUAAAAUAUCUAUUUAGCCUGAUGUUAUAUUUCAACAGUUUCAAGUAUGAAAUGUAUUUCUUACUGUACCUCUUCCUACUGCUACUCCGUGAAGACAUCCUCUGUGCGUUGACCUCCAAUCAUUUUUAGUAUGAUAGUAUUGAAAGCAAAAACAUUAUCUAGGGUCUUCUUCAGUUCACUCAUUGUCCGAUCAAAACUCAUAAUGCCCGAGUCCUAAAAUGUAAGAAGUGGAAUGAACUACAAAGAGAAAUAAAGAAUAAACUGCUUACUCUACGAACUAGUAAAUGUAUAGGAUGUUAACUUCACAUUCAUAACAACACUACUAUCCAUUUCAGGGACAGUGGGUCAUUAUUUUUCUAAAAUAUCUUUCAAACUAAUUAUUUGAUCAAGAUGGUGUUUUGACAUAGUGUACAAGACACCUCCCGCUAAGUUUUGGUAAUAAAGUGCUUUGUAAAAUGUGUUAGUUAAGGUAUUUACUCUUGACUUACAUAGUGUUGUCAAGCAUCGCCACCCUUACAUUUGAAUGUCCUGUAUUCCAUCCUGUCCCUCCCUACCUCCCUCCCUCUCCCUUCCCCUCCUCAUCCCUCCCUCAGCCCACUUUCAUGGCCUCCCCAUCUCUAACCACCCUUUCCCGUCUAUAAUAUUAUAUUGAGUAUGUAAUAUUGGAUGUUAUAAAUGUGUCGAAUUUUGAAGAUUCUGUGUUCAUUUAAUCAUUGUUAUUGUAUUUCCUUAAGUUAUAUGAAUGGGAGUAAGCUUUACAGCAUAUGAGCUUCACCAUAUUCACCCAGUAUAAUAUACCUACUAUCAUGAUCUCGACUUAAAUUCUUUACCUCGUUUGCCCCUCGUAUUGAUGUGUUGACUACGAGCAGGUAAACUAUGGUAACCAAAAUUA
Molecule: long non-coding RNA, 5895 nt
Organism: Macrobrachium nipponense
Lineage: Eukaryota; Metazoa; Arthropoda; Malacostraca; Decapoda; Palaemonidae
Exons: 3
Source: RefSeq, a predicted model, not a curated record